This 85-nucleotide transfer RNA is filed under the name Coriobacteriales bacterium. RNAcentral describes it as "tRNA-Leu". It matches the Rfam family "tRNA". From Rfam's summary of the family: Transfer RNA (tRNA) molecules are approximately 80 nucleotides in length. Their secondary structure includes four short double-helical elements and three loops (D, anti-codon, and T loops). The record is from RNAcentral. Lineage: Bacteria; Bacillati; Actinomycetota; Coriobacteriia; Coriobacteriales.
GCGGGCGUGGCGGAAUUGGCAGACGCACCAGGUUUAGGUCCUGGCGGGGCGACCUGUGGGAGUUCGAGUCUCCCCGCCCGCACCA